Molecule: ribosomal RNA, 427 nt
Filed under: Lysinibacillus sphaericus
Lineage: Bacteria; Bacillati; Bacillota; Bacilli; Caryophanales; Bacillaceae
Description: bacterial SSU rRNA
Rfam family: Bacterial small subunit ribosomal RNA
Source: RNAcentral
UAGUUGCCAUCAUUUAGUUGGGCACUCUAAGGUGACUGCCGGUGACAAACCGGAGGAAGGUGGGGAUGACGUCAAAUCAUCAUGCCCCUUAUGACCUGGGCUACACACGUGCUACAAUGGACGAUACAAACGGUUGCCAACUCGCGAGAGGGAGCUAAUCCGAUAAAGUCGUUCUCAGUUCGGAUUGUAGGCUGCAACUCGCCUACAUGAAGCCGGAAUCGCUAGUAAUCGCGGAUCAGCAUGCCGCGGUGAAUACGUUCCCGGGCCUUGUACACACCGCCCGUCACACCACGAGAGUUUGUAACACCCGAAGUCGGUGAGGUAACCUUUUGGAGCCAGCCGCCGAAGGUGGGAUAGAUGAUUGGGGUGAAGUCGUAACAAGGUAGCCGUAUCGGAAGGUGCGGCUGGAUCACCUCCUUUCUAAGGA